GUGUGUGUGUAUAAAAAAAAAGGAGUGACUUUUAUAGUUAACCAGUAUAAGUGUAAUGAACCUUAUAAAAAUAUGUUUGUUUAAGUUAUACACUUAGGUCAUGUGAGAUUCUAUCUCAAAUUCCAUUUUCUGUAAAAUGCCAAAGAAUUCAGUACAUGAUUAAUGGAGGGCAGGCUGAGCAAAAAUUUUGUAGGAAGGCUGGGGCAUGGUGGCUGAUUGCCUUGGAAUUGGAAAUGAUUAGACCCAAGAGCUCUCUGCCUUUCCAUAGCUCUAUCAGUGUUGACUAGAAUGCAUUCAUGCUAAAUCAUUCUUGCAAAAUUUUCCUUUAUUGUGUGGUGAUUGUAUGUUACGUAUUUGGGAUUUAUGAGAUAACCAGAGCAAUUGAUAAUUCCUUGAAUGAAAUUCAUAGGAUCUCACUUUGGCACUAAACCAAACUUUUUCCCAUCUCAGUGGAUUCAGAUGACAUAUUUUA
RNAcentral lists this unclassified non-coding RNA (472 nucleotides) under Hevea brasiliensis (rubber tree). The record is from RNAcentral. Lineage: Eukaryota; Viridiplantae; Streptophyta; Magnoliopsida; Malpighiales; Euphorbiaceae.